CAACUAAAUACUCUCUCUAAAAUCCGACCCCUAUUGUCUUUCUCGACUCUCAGCUUCAAGCCUUCAGCUCGGCUCUCUCAACAGCCUGUCUUCCUCAUUCAUCACUACAAAAACAACAUGGAAAAGUUUCCUCUCUGAGCCACUCUCCUUCUUUUCUCUUCAUUUCUUGUAAAGAAACCAUCUCAGAAAGUAGCACAGAUAGACGACGCCGUGCUUCAUGCUCUGAGAGACAAAUUGAAGCACCUAAUCAUGGCCAUAGCUGACCACAAGUCACCGUCUGAUAAUAGUAAUAACAACAAGGUCUGGGGAUUUUUCAAGCUGCCGUUUCGAGGAAGCAACCCCAACACGACGCCGUCUUUUUCAUCGUCAACGCAUCUCCACAACCAUAAUAACUCUCAAGUUGAAGGAUCGAAUGCUCAUGCUUCAAAUUCGGUGUCUUCGGUGGCCAGAUCGCUUUUGCCAACGCGGCGUCGUCUUAAACUUGAUCCGGCAACUAAGCUCUACUUUCCUUACGAACCUGGUAAGCAGGUCAGAAGUGCCAUCAAAAUAAAGAAUACUAGCAAAUCCCAUGUGGCUUUCAAGUUUCAAACGACUGCACCAAAAAGCUGUUUCAUGCGUCCUCCAGGGGCUAUUCUUGCCCCUGGAGAAAGUAUAAUAGCAACUGGUAAUUAAGCAAAUGUUCUGGUCAUUUUACUAUGUUUGGGACAAUAUCUAUUUGCUAUCCGAUACUUACAAAAUAUUCUUCUUUAUUUUGAAUGCCAGUAUUCAAGUUUGUUGAGCAACCAGAAAACAAUGAGAAACCCAUUGAACAGAAGAGCAAGGUUAAAUUUAAAAUCAUGAGUCUAAAGGUGAAGGGGAUGAUGGAUUAUGUGCCUGAGCUGGUGCGUCGAUGAUUCCUUUAAUUGCUACUUUGAAAUGAUAUGUGCUGAUAUUUUCAAUCUUGAAGGCAUAUAUUUUUCAAUCUUGAAGGCAUAUAUUUUUACUUUUAGGCCCUGACUGUUUUCAUAUAAUUUCUAAUUUAAGAUAUCUUGAAUUCAUAAAUAACACCAUUUUUCUCGGAAACAAGCCAACAACUAUGACUUCUUAUUAGAUCCUAGUUGAUUGGCACAUGAGGAAAACUUUAGACAUGUUAAGCAUUAUUACAAGUCUUCAUAUUUAUCAUGGUUUGUUUUCAAUCAAAAGACGAUUUCUCCCUACUGUCAUGUUGGCUUAAUGCUAACAAUUAUCAAGUAUGCAUAAGAUUAAGGAGUUGCAUUUUCUAUCAUAGAAAUGUCCUCAACAUUUGCAUGGUUCAUCUUUAAUUGGGCAUACAUCUCAAAUCACUUCUUGCUCUUGUGUGUCUAAAACUAUAUCAUGGGUAUUCAAAUUUUCCUUGAAGAGUUUGUUGCUCAUGCUGUUAGAUGCUUUUUUCCGUUGUAGUUUGAUGAGCAGAAGGAUCAAGUAUCAAUAGAGCAAAUAUUGCGAGUUGUUUUCCUAGAUCCAGAGCGUCCUAGUGCUGCUCUGGAGAAGUUAAAGCGCCAAUUGGCUGAUGCUGAUGCUGCAGUUGAGGCAAGCAAAAAGCCUCCAGAAGAUGCAGGUCCAAGAAUUAUUGGUGAAGGACUUGUGAUAGAUGAAUGGAAAGAGCGAAGGGAAAGAUAUCUUGCUCGACAGCAGGUUGAAGGAGUAGACUCUGUAUAGAGUGACAAUAGUCUUCAAGGUGCCCCCUAUAUGAAGAAGAAAUUUUAUAUAAUUCCACCACUCAGUUUAUUCAUCCAAUAUUUUCUUGUAACUUGAAGGAUGUUUUAUUCAGGGGAUCAUGUAGGAAACGUCAACAUGUUUUAUGUAAAAAAGAAAUGUGAGGUGAAUUUUCUGUGAUUUGAGUUGCUGAAACUUAUCCUGUGACCAUCUGCCUGUAGAUAAUUGUGAUUUUGUUUUGUUUUUGCGUUCUUUCCCUAUUUCGCAAAUCAAACUUGUCUUUAUGGGGUGUAAUGCACGUUAACUGAGCAGUCUUGACAAGUGUUCGCCUGGAGAAAAAGAUAAGUAUUUCACUAUGAUUUAAAUGCCCCGUCUGGCUUUUCCUCUUGACAGCAAAUUAUAAAAUACAUCUGGAGCGUGGAUUUAGGAUCCACUUUUCAUAAUAUCCACAGUUUAUGCGAGGGCUAAAAUUUCGUGCUAAGAAUGCACUUAAUAACUUUCCUUUUUUAACUGUUUUGCAUUUUUUAGGUACCCAAGCCUAUCUCCACUCCAGUCGUUGAUUCGCCAGUCUUGCUUUGACUAGGUGCUACUACCCUUCCAUCUGGUUGAGCUUAUUAAAAGAUACCAUUCUGUUUCUAGUAUCGUAGGAAUGUGUGAUGCCCAGUACAUUACCGGUUAUUCUUUCACAGAAGGAUGCCAGCUAUUGUUCGCGGUUGUCUGGGGCGUUCCUCGGUCCAUGAUAAGAUCUAUAUAGCCUGGUAUUAGCAACCUGAAGAGUGCAGGGAAAUGAACCAAAAAACCUGUUGGCUCUAACUUGGUGCGCCUCAAAUCUUAAGCAUGGAUAUGCUGUGAUCUGCUCCCCUGCGUCCUUUGCUUUUUCCCCUGCCUGUGGUAGCCACACGCCUUUAUAUGUUGAAUAUUAGAUGAGAAACAAAAUAGCUGAUAUAUGGAGUAAAUUUUCCAUGAUUAUCUAGAGCUUCUCAAACUUAAUUCCAUUGCAAUAUGGGCAUGAGACGUGGUAAUUUGAUUACCAUAAUAGAAAUGAAGAGUCAUAAAGUUGCAGACAGUAUAAAAGCAAGAUAGAUUUGAUAGAAUGUUAAUAAAGGAAUAGACAAGCCUUAUGAUGACAAAUUUGGUUCUAUUAUCAUAUUAUUUUUUAGCCGACUCUGGCGUUGCUGCCUUGCUGGUUUUAGCAGGAUUUGCCACGAUCACUUGACGCCAAUA
Molecule: unclassified non-coding RNA, 2898 nt
Filed under: Hevea brasiliensis (rubber tree)
Lineage: Eukaryota; Viridiplantae; Streptophyta; Magnoliopsida; Malpighiales; Euphorbiaceae
Source: RNAcentral